AUGACCGUACUUGAACAGGAUCUGUUCUAUAGGAUCGUACCUCUGAAUCCUUGAGUACAAAGGAGACAGGACCAAAACUCUGGUGGAUGAACCGUGGCUACUUGACCAGAGCGUGAUUAGUGGUUCUGUGGUUUAGUUAACUGGUCCACAUAUCCGCGGAGGAUCGUUCUCAGCCGGUUUGAACUGGCUACGAUGGUUAAGUAGUUGUCUGACAGAUU
Camellia sinensis is the source of this 218-nucleotide non-coding RNA. Lineage: Eukaryota; Viridiplantae; Streptophyta; Magnoliopsida; Ericales; Theaceae. The record is from RefSeq and is a predicted model, not a curated record.